UACGUAGGUGGCAAGCGUUGUCCGGAUUUAUUGGGUUUAAAGGGUGCGUAGGCGGUUAUAUAAGUCAGUGCUGAAAUAUCCCGGCUUAACCGGGAGGGUGGCAUUGAUACUGUAUGACUUGAGUAAAGUUGAGGUUGGCGGAAUUGACGGUGUAGCGGUGAAAUGCUUAGAUAUCGUCAAGAACACCGAUAGUGAAGACAGCUAACUAAGCUUUAACUGACGCUGAGGCACGAAAGUGUGGGGAUCAAACAGG
This 253-nucleotide ribosomal RNA is filed under the name uncultured bacterium. RNAcentral describes it as "partial 16S ribosomal RNA". It matches the Rfam family "Bacterial small subunit ribosomal RNA", at positions 524 to 776 of the family's 1533-position model. The record is from RNAcentral.